AAACUAUCAUUGCCUCACUCACAGCUUAUCUUAUCACUAUUAACGACUGUGUUUUUGAGAAUGGGCCACCAACCAAGUGUACAUACCGCCUCUAAGCCGCACAAGAUCUCUGUUAAAUAAGUGUCAUUAUUAUCCACUAUUCGCAAAUGAGGAGAUCGGAGACCAGAGAUGUAAAAAUUAGCCCAGCGUAAAAGUUGGGGUGACAGGAAGAGGAGUCACACUCGGCUUACUUGGGUCGUAAGGCCCAAGUGCCUCCUCCUGCCGGUGUCCUGCCGCUCGCUGCUGUGGUUACGUGGUGUGUCUUUAGACCUCAUUUUACCCGACUUCUCAGGGUUCCCCAAGCUAAUCAGAUGCCCUUCGGAACCCAAGCUUUAGAAAAAUGACACAAAGUUGAAAUAUGCCUAAAGACAAAUGUUUACAUGUGGCGCCUCUGCCACCCCAGUUAGAAUCCGCAGAGUGAAACAGAGAAAUUCCACAGACGAGCCACCUUCUAGAGACAGACGCCGCAGGAAACCCAAGGAGCUGAAUUAAGUCACUGAGUCAACAGGUGGCUGGACAGUUAAGAACGGACAUCCGCUAUAGGUCAAGGGCGAGAACACACGAAAGAGGGAGAGAGCCGAGGGCAGCUACGAAAUGAGGGUGGGACCCGACAAAACGCGGGCGGAGGCCGGCCCAGCAGCUCUGAGGGUGGCCGGUGGGGCCAUUGAAAGGCUCCCCUUCUGUGGCUUUACCCGAGACUUGGGGUUUGCGAAGCCGGGUGGGGAAAGUCCUUUGAGGGGGAUGUGGAGGCUAAAUCAACAGCAUGACGUGUCCCGAGGGGGGACGCUCCGAGCCGAUGACGUGCAGAUUUCUCAGGCUGGCAGCCUGUUUCUCACCCAGCAGGAGCCUGCCCUGCCCCUCGCUUCUAUGCCCCUAUGCCCGCUGCCUUCCCCCCGAUCCCUCGAUCCCCCAUCCUGACCAGUUCCUCAGGCCUCUGGGAAAACGGCAACUGCUGCCUUCCCGGCUGAUGAGCCCCGGAGCCGCCUCCUAGGUCUUCUUUCUGUAUCCACUUGGCCUCGCUCACAGCCUGUGGAAGUUCCCGGGCCAGGGAUCGAACCUGUGCCACGGCAGUGACUACGCCUGAUCCUUCACCUGCUGCACCACAGGGGAACUCCUGUCUUCCUGUUUAAGUGCCGAUGUUUGAAUCCUCUUUGCCUUGUCCUGGGCUUACCUACUUUCAGUGACAGCAACGGCACCCAUCUUUAAGGUAAUCCGGUAACUACUGAUGAUUGAAUGAGGACGAGGAAACUGAACAGCGUGACACUGCUGUCCCUGCAAGACAAAAACAGUCACCUGGGGGCAAUGUGCUGUGGUUCAGCUGAACACACGGGGUGCAUAUACAUUACUGUUUACUCUCCACAGCAGCCGAGUCAAAUAAUUCAAGUUUUACAGAGAAUCAGGUGAGGCCAGGGAUAUGGAGUAAUUUACACAGAGAGCAGAUGACGGGCCAGGUCGAGUUCCUUCCCUCCACCUCGUGAGCACUACGGGGCUUCCUGCUCGUGAGGUCGUCCGUCUCUGACCCGCUGGCUUGUCGGGCUCUCGGGACAAGCCGGCCCCCUCCAGCCCCGCCAGCCUUCCAGAGCCCCCUCCUGAUCCGACAGCACUGGAUCCCUCGCCCUUGUGUUGAACAGGACCGAUACGUGUCUGGGGCCCGUGGCCGCCUCUCCCCCCCACAGUGGGAUCUGCGGGAGCCACUGAGAGGCUAGCCAGCCCUUCCCACUCAGCUGAGUCCUGAUUUCAGGUGCUGUUCUUUCCAAGAAGGUACCUGGGAAGACACCUUUCCGCAAAGAUCUUUCCUUCGCACGGUAGGUUCCUCGCUGUCCUAUUUCUUCUCUUUACGCUCCCUCUUGACCUGCAAACCCAGUCUGAAACUCACCUGUGGACCCAGCAGUGCCACGCCUGGUAUAAACCCAAGAGAAGUGAAAACACAUGUCCACACACAGACUUGUGGCCGCAACAGCCAAAGAAGGAACACAACCCAAGUGGCCAUCAGUUAAGAAAAGGGUGAGUAAAAUGCGACCUGUCUCUGCAGGAGACCAUUAUUCAAGCGUGGAAAGGAAUGACGGAAUGUCACCUGCAGCAACACGGAUGAACUUUGAACGCAUUAUGCAAAUGAAGGUAGCCAGAGACAAAGGCCACAGGUGUAUAAUUCCUUCCAUGUGAAGGCUCCGCAAGGGCAAAUUCGCAGGGAGAGGAAGUAGAUCCGUGGUCACCAGGGGUGAGAAAACAGACGAGCAGCAGCUCCACGUAACCCAAAGACUAAACACCACUCAAGCCUACACUUUCAAAAGGUGACUUUUACGUGGUGUGAAUCAUGUCACAUUGAAAACGUAUUGUAAAGUCACCUGCGAUUUGAGUCACUGGGCUUUUCAUAGCUCUUCGGUUUUCCCCUCUGUGAAGCAUGGAUGUGGGACUAGAGAUCCUUCUAAAGAAGCAGAUCCAGCCCUUCCUCUGCGGGAUCCUUUGGCAAUGCGGGAAGUCGGGAUGGGAGAGGCUGGCCCUUUCUGCUCCUUCCUGCCUCGCUCUGAGCCCACCUGCAGUCGUGGAACCCGGAGCGCAAGAGGGGUGUUUAUUCCAUUCUCUUGUUUUGUUCUUGAGAAAAUCAACAAAGCCUUGGGAGAGGACAGUACAUUGUCAAGGUCAUAGGAUAAGUCCGGGCACUGAAUCCUGUUUCCUUCCUUCAACGGGGCUGUGGAAGGCACCCUGUCCCACCCACCUGGGAAGCCUCUGCUGCCCAGGAAACAAGAUGCAAAGCCUUCCACUGACACCUGAAGUCAGGCCCUUUGGGCAGGAAGGUUAGGGGUGACCUGUUGCAAAUACUGGCUUAUCUGUAUCUACCCAACAGUUAGGACUGAAGUUUUGUCUGUUUGUUUUGAAACAGGUUUGACUUGCUCAUUCUUGCGCAUUGAAAAAGGAGGUGAAAGUAGGUCUCCUGAAAAUGGUUGCUUAUAUUCCCAAACAGAGCUGAGCCUGCUGGGCAGACAAUGGUGAAGGAGCUGGGCAGGGCUCUCUUUUGCAGAUUCUUUUUUCUUUUUUUUGCCUUUUAGGGCCACACCCACAGCUUAUGGAGGUUCCCCGGCUAGGGGUCCAAUCAGAGCUACAGCCGCCUACACCACAGCCACAACAAUGCAGGAUCUGAGCCACGACCUACACCACAGCUCACGGCAACGGCGGAUCCUUAACCCACUGAGUGAGGCCGGGAAUCGAACACGCGUCCUCAUGGUUACUAGUCGGAUUUGUUUCCACUGAGCCACAGCAGGAACUCCUCUUUUGGGAGAUAUUUAAAGGGGCAAGUUUUACUCCUGGACAAGAGUCCAGCGUGGCAUCAAAGAAUCCAUGGAGGAAAAGGCAUUUGGCCCAGGGGUGAGGGACAGGCGGCAGGCCCAGCAAGAAGGAAGAGGCAGAAAGAGCCACAAAGAAUGAAAAGCAGUAGGCUAGGGCUUCGAGUAUGUGUAGAGAAAUUUUGCAAAACAAAACCUGACUUGACCCCAGAGGACAUUUGGGAAUGUCUGAAGGCAUUUUGGUCGUCGCAGCUUGAGGGGAGGUGUGACUGUGUCCGGAGGAGAGGCCAGGAUGCUGUGGCAUCAUUCAGUCUGCGUCUAAGGGGCGAGGGUGUGAGCCCUGGUCCGAGCCCGGGAACCAGGGCAGCCAAUGUCCCAGGGCACGAGGAGGUGGGGUCCAGCUCCAGCAGGAGGCCAGUCGCCCUUCCUCCACCUCUGGCUUCCCUUCAGUCCCCCAGUGGGUUGCGGGGGACGCCCGCAGCGUUGGCGAGGGCAGACUUCAUCACUCAGCUGACUCUCUUCUGUAAACACCAUGGACAAAGCCAGAAGGGAUGUUUUAUCAGCCUUCUGGGCAUCCCUUAGGCCCAGCCAAGGGGGCACAUACAGUGAACCAUCACAGACAUAGUUUUAAAAAAAGCCCUGAGAACCAGGGUCUGGGAGGCAGCUCUGCAAAGCCUGGCACGUCAGCCCAACAGGUGCCCGCCCUCACGUGGGGGGAAGACACGUCACAGACGAGGAAACAAAAGCAGGCAAAAUAUAUUUUCACAGCAGUCGAGGAAAUAAACAGGUGAUAUGACAGGCAGCAAUCGGGGAGGGGGCUCUUGGGGCUCCUGCGAUGAGACAACCAGGGGUGACGAGCCUGGGCUCAAACCCUGGGGCUCCGGAGCUGGAGAAGCGUGUUUCUGACCAAGGGAUCGCAUGGGUUACAUGGGCGUGUUUGGGAAAGCUGCCGCGAGGUUGGCUAGACCAGGGGGUCCCGGGCGUACGCGGUGCUGAAAAGGCACAAUCCCUCAGGAAUUUAUGACACGCUCUACAGCAGAGGAGAGGAUGUGCUCUCCAGUAACCUUCAUGGACAAGUUCAAAGUGCCCGCCCCCGUCUCCGCGCCUGCGUUCCACGGUGGCUAUUACAACACAGACACGCCAGGCUGUGGCAGACAGAGCCACAGUCACUACGCGCAUUUCAUCCGGAAGGACAGCGUUCGCCUCCCCCUGCCCUCAUCGGUUGGAGGGCGACUCGAAGGAAGACCCUGGUACGGGAGCAGGUGGCAUCUGCAUGGCUGUGUGCACGGCUGGCUGAUAACCCAAGAAGCUGCAGGCUGCAGCCAGAAAAACCCCUGAAAGUGCCGCAACAAAGACCAGGGGAUUGAAGGGAACCAGAUGAGAGAGUUAAGCCUCUACCGAAAGGGUGGAAACGAAAAUGUUAACUAAAGGUUGCCUCUGAGUGGCAGCAUGAUGGGUGACUUCAACGGUUUUGGAGUAUUUUCGACAGUAAACACGGAUGUUGUAAUAAAAGAAAAACCAAGCCAGCUGUUGUUUUUAUGAAGUUCUUUGACUUCUGAAAUCAGAGCCCCCCUGAAAUCUGAAACUGAGAGAGGAGUUCCCGUUGUAGCUUAGCGGGUUAAGAACCUGACUGGUAUCCAUAAGGAUGCGGGCUCGAUCCUUGGCCUCGCAGCGUGAGUUAAGGAUCCGGGGCUGCUGCGAGCUGCAGCGUGGGUCACAGAUGCGGCUUGGCUCCCGUGUUGCUGUGGCUGUGGUGUAUGUGGGCUGGCGCGGCAGCUCUGAUUCAACCCCUAGCCUGGGAAAGUCCACAGCCUGGGUGCAGCCUUUAAAAAAAUGAAAAUAAAAUAAAACUGAGAGAGACUGUGCUGUCGAGAUUGUGAAAUCGGGGCCCUUAAGUGCCAGCCGCACGGUGCCCACGACGGAAGCAGACUGAGCGACGCGCUUGCGGAGUGAAGCCCCGCAUUAGGGAGGCCCUGCGGAAGGGGCUUCGGAAGCCUGGGAUGAGGGCCCAGGGAGGGGAGGGUGCGGGCCGUCCCUCUCUGCUCUGGGACCCAGAGGUGUUAGAGCGUCUGAUGCUCCAAGAGAAGCCAAACGCAUCCCUACACAGUAAGCGCAGGCGCCCACGUCGAAGGUCGAAGGUAAACUCGGUGCAGAGCGGAGCGCACCUGUCUGGAGGCCAGGAUGGUCCCUUGCAGCCUCCCUCCCAGACUUCCUUUUAGCUGAGCCACCUCCUGCUCC
RNAcentral lists this long non-coding RNA (5558 nucleotides) under Sus scrofa (pig). Its description in RNAcentral is "lncRNA (ENSSSCG00035033058.1)". The record is from RNAcentral. Lineage: Eukaryota; Metazoa; Chordata; Mammalia; Artiodactyla; Suidae.